Molecule: non-coding RNA, 125 nt
Organism: Cajanus cajan (pigeon pea)
Lineage: Eukaryota; Viridiplantae; Streptophyta; Magnoliopsida; Fabales; Fabaceae
Source: Rfam
ACCAAUUCUGGGGGAUAUCUAGUUCCUCUUGGUAUAAUGGCUCGGACGCAAGACCAACGAUGUGGUCAUCCUGAUUGAUGGUUUAAUGACAAUACCAUUUGGUCUUGGAAACGCCACCAACAUCA